CCUACGGGAGGCUGCAGUGAGGAAUAUUGGUCAAUGGACGAGAGUCUGAACCAGCCAAGUAGCGUGAAGGAUGACUGCCCUAUGGGUUGUAAACUUCUUUUAUAUGGGAAUAAAAUGUUCCACGUGUGGGAUUUUGUAUGUACCAUAUGAAUAAGGAUCGGCUAACUCCGUGCCAGCAGCCGCGGUAAUACGGAGGAUCCGAGAGUUAUCCGGAUUUAUUGGGUUUAAAGGGAGCGUAGGUGGAUUGUUAAGUCAGUUGUGAAAGUUUGCGGCUCAACCGUAAAAUUGCAGUUGAAACUGGCAGUCUUGAGUACAGUAGAGGUGGGCGGAAUUCGUGGUGUAGCGGUGAAAUGCUUAGAUAUCACGAAGAACUCCGAUUGCGAAGGGAGUUCACUGGACUGCAACUGACACUGAGGCUCGAAAGUGUGGGUAUCAAACAGGAUUAGAUACCCUGGUAGUC
Molecule: ribosomal RNA, 460 nt
Filed under: uncultured bacterium
Lineage: Bacteria
Description: partial 16S ribosomal RNA
Rfam family: Bacterial small subunit ribosomal RNA
Source: RNAcentral